UUCUUUCUUCGACGGAGCAAACAAAAUGGAGAAUUGAAAAACCCUAGAUCUCCUUAAUACUCUUAGGUGGUCUCCUUCAUCUCUCUCAAUUCAUCUUCUACAUCUCUUUGGGAACAUGGGUUUUCUGCUUUUGAUGUUGUUACUUCAUUGGAUAGGAUUUGGGAACAUGGGUUAUUAAUGGCUUUCAGUGGAGAAGGGAAGAUGAUUGGAGCUGUGUGAAGGAGAAACUUUUCUUGAAUACUGCUUUCGGUUGGGUUGUUGACUGCACAUCAGAAGAAGAAUUCCGAUGAAACAUGAGUGGCUGUUUACAUUACACUACACACUUCUUGAGCUUGUUCAGAGAACACAAAGAUAUCACUUCGAUGCCUGCUCAUAAGGUAUACCCCCUAGGAUCCAUUUGUAAACGUCGUAAAUAGAACCUGAGAUGUUGACGGUUGAAAAAUCUCCAUUUUAAGUGGUCUCAUAUUCCAUUUCCUCGGGGAGCUGCGUUGUGGCCAUGAGACAUACAUUUUGUCAUGUUCUUUUUAACAAACAGUAUAUAUAUACCUAUGAGGAUAUCGAAUAUAGAGAACACCAUCGUUCGGGACUGAAUGGCUUAAUGCCUUGGUGACAUUCUGCAAUUCUGAGGCGUUUAAUUUUAUGCUGCACUUUGUAUUGAACUGGUUGCUUGCUUACUUGGUAUCCUAAGUAUGAUGACCAGCAAUGAGCCUUGGCAAAUUCCAUGGUUUGCAUCCUGAUUUGAUAUCUGUGUGCUGAAUUAAAUCAUAGUAUGAUAUUACUGAGAAACAUUUUGCAAAGACUGCAUUUUGGACUGGGUUGUCUACUGCACAGCAGAAAUGAAAAUGUGUAUGCAUUCUUUAAUGAAUUGCUUUCAAGCUAUUUGCAUUUACGUUUUCUUUUUCGAUGUUUAGUUGACAUCACCCACUUCUUGAGCUUGUUCUGAAAUUUUU
Molecule: long non-coding RNA, 950 nt
Organism: Papaver somniferum (opium poppy)
Lineage: Eukaryota; Viridiplantae; Streptophyta; Magnoliopsida; Ranunculales; Papaveraceae
Exons: 3
Source: RefSeq, a predicted model, not a curated record